GAAAGAGAGGGACAUCAUUUUGACUCCACUGUGAAUUUUGCAUUACACGCACAGUCUCAGUGAAUAAGAAUAUGCUCAUCGGUUUUAAUUCACAGACAACACAAUUAUUUAUGCAUUUUUCCCUCAUUAGAUAGCAUGGCAUGGAUGAUCUGAUGUCCAGAGACAUAAAUCCCUCCGGAGGCAGUUCAGGAGUUGUGACACAUAUGACAACAUCAACAUCAAGACUGACAUCUUUGCCACCAAAGGGCAGUAGCGGGUCAGUGAAGAGCAUGAGCAGUGGCUAUGGAGGGGCUGGGUUGGAGAAGAAUGCCUUAGCCC
Long non-coding RNA from Clupea harengus (Atlantic herring), 318 nucleotides. RefSeq lists it as uncharacterized. The transcript has 3 exons. The record is from RefSeq and is a predicted model, not a curated record. NCBI's taxonomy places the organism in Eukaryota, Metazoa, Chordata, Actinopteri, Clupeiformes, Clupeidae.